Molecule: transfer RNA, 102 nt
Filed under: Promethearchaeota archaeon Loki_b32
Lineage: Archaea; Promethearchaeati; Promethearchaeota
Also listed under: 2 other names
Description: Candidatus Lokiarchaeota archaeon Loki_b32 tRNA-Gly
Rfam family: tRNA
About the family: Transfer RNA (tRNA) molecules are approximately 80 nucleotides in length.
Source: RNAcentral
GCGCGAUUAGUCUAGUGGUUAGGAUCUCGGCCUUCCAAGCCGAUGACCCGGGUAGCCGCUCCAUUUCGGGGUUGUUCGGGAUUUCAAUUCCCGGAUCGCGCA